Molecule: long non-coding RNA, 1799 nt
Filed under: Phasianus colchicus (ring-necked pheasant)
Lineage: Eukaryota; Metazoa; Chordata; Aves; Galliformes; Phasianidae
Description: lncRNA (ENSPCLG00000010017.1)
Source: RNAcentral
GAUAAAGAGAGCGUUGGAGGCAUUCAAUAGAUAAAUUAGAUAUCUUUUCAAUUAUUCCCUUUAUUUUAUAGGGUCACGUGCCUGAUUAACAACUUUUUACUUCUGUUAUCAAGCCGGCGGAUUCUCAAUGCUCGCUCCGUGUCUUUUAAUUCUGUGGAUGUAAUGAAAGGCAUUGAGGGCUUUGUGCUCUGUGAUCGUUUUGUGCAGUGACAAUCUCACUCUUCUCGGGAGUCCACGAGUGCUGCAUUCCCUUUUAUCCUCCAGGAUUCCAAAAAAUAAUCCCUUCCUUUUUGCUGGAACGCUCCCUGAGAUGUGAGCUCAGCCCCAUCUGGAUGUGUUUCUCACAUCUCACAUCUCCGUGGAUGUUGUGGAUGGUUGGAGGCAGAGCUCUGGGAUGCAGAUUGCCCCGUGUCAGCGUCUUUCUGGAGCUGAAGGAGUGGAUGGGUGGAGAAGGUGGUGGUUUCAGAGACCCUGGGCUGCCCCUACCCCAAUUCCCUCCCAUUGCAGACGUCGAUCCGUGCAGGCAAAUGGAAACACGGCGCUGACGAGCGGCUCCCCUGCAGAGCAGUUCUUCAUCCCAACCUGCAACGAACACAAAGAGCAAUUCAGGUGGAGUUACCCCGAGGAGAUUUAUGACGUCCAGGGAGGCACACGCCAUUCGAUACCGAAGCAUGAAUCAAAGCAGGACAGCAGGGAUGUAUUUACAUCUGCGCCGCGCGCGCACGGAUAUCGCAAGGAGAACACAAAGUCAGCUGGCAAUGGAUGGGGGCUCUGGGAGGGUGGUGGGGGGCACUUCUGAGCUUCGUGGGUGUAAAAGGGAACGGAAGGGAUGAUGGUAAUUGUUGUGGUUGAGCUGCGUGGCUUCCCAAGUCUGAGCCAAGGGAUGUACGUGUGAGGAUGUGGCUGGGAUUUCGUGGCUGGGGGCAUCGGGGAGGAAAGUCCUUGGUUUUCAUGGUUGGGAAUGAAUUUGAGAGGAAAGCCCUUGGGUUUCAUGGCUGGGGAUGUAUUUGAGAGCAAAGCCCUUGGGUUGAAUGGUUGGGGAUGAGUUUGAGAGGAAAGCCCUUGGGUUUCAUGGUUGGGGAUGAAUAUAAGAGGAAAGUCCUUGGAUUUCAUGGUUGGGGAUGAGUUUGAGAGCAAAACCCUUGGGUUUCAUGGCUGGGGAUGAAUUUGAGAGGAAAGCCCUUGGGUUUCAUGGCUGGGAAUGAAUUUGAGAGCAAAGCCCUUGGGUUUCAUGGCUGGGGAUGAGUUUGAGAAGAAAGCCCUUGGGUUUCAUGGCUGGGGAUGAAUUUGAGAGGAAAGCCCUUGGGUUUCAUGGCUGGGGAUGAAUUUGAGAUGAAAGCCUUUGGGUUUCAUGGCUGGGGAUGAAUUUGAGAGCAAAGCCUUUGGGUUUCAUGGCUGGGGAUGAAUUUGAGAGGAAAUCCCUUGGGUUUCAUGGCUGGGGAUGAAUUUGAGAGGAAAGCCCUUGGGUUUCAUGGCUGGGGAUGAAUUUGAGAGCAAAGCCCUCGGGUUUCAUGGCUGGGGAUGAAUUUGAGAGGAAAUCCCUUGGGUUUCAUGGUUGGGGACAUGUUUUAGAAGAAAACCCUUGGAUUUAACAGUGACUGUGGAUGCAGAAGCCUCCGUGUGUCCUCACAUUGGUUGGGUUUCACGUGCUCUCUGGUCCAACUCUUAUCCUACAUUUCAACCCAUGCAAAACCCAGCGGUGUCACCACUUGGUGCAACACCAACCCUGCUAACUUGGUGAUGAUUUUGGGCCCCUUUUGCCAGGAAAUGGUUCCCUCCACGUGAAAACACCCAACCCA